Paramormyrops kingsleyae is the source of this 1318-nucleotide long non-coding RNA. RefSeq lists it as uncharacterized. Lineage: Eukaryota; Metazoa; Chordata; Actinopteri; Osteoglossiformes; Mormyridae. The record is from RefSeq and is a predicted model, not a curated record.
AUUAAAGACGAGUUUCGGCGCAUUACAACAGUAGCCCUGGAAGAGACUUUUAUGCGGAAACUUGAUUGGUACACACCACGUCUUCUGCAGCUAAUGCGUUCCAAAGUCACUGAGUGUUGAGAGAAAAAGGGAUGCUGUUGUCCGUUGUCUCAUUGAGUACCUUGGAGAACACCAAGAAGAGCUCUUCCAAACUUGCCAGGAUGAACCUGAGGACUCCACGAACCACACUAUGAAGGUGCUCAUGAUCCAUAAUUCCACAGCUGAGGAGGAUCCAGUAAAUGUGUCUAUUAUGAUAGAGGGAAUCCAAGUGCUGAAUGGAUGUGGAAACAGAACCAAGGCGUGUAUGCUGUUAAUGGGCUUGAUCUAUGCCCUCAACCUUGAGUAUCCCAGGAAUCUCAAGUACACGUUUGAAGUAUUCCAGAAACUGUUUUUGGAACUUGAUGGAGCAAAACUGCUCAAGAAAGUCCACAGCCUCAAAAGUAAGCUAAUGGAGUGAACUGUUGUGUGAGAAACAUGGACUGUUUCCUUGGUAAGUAGGCAGUCUGAUGUUUUUUGGGGUUGUCUACAUAUUUAGUUCUUAGCAUUACAAAUGUUUUGAUUGAACCACAUGCAACUUCUGAUUGUGACACUGUUUCCUUUUUAAAGGUUUCUGUUUAUACCUGUUAUGAGAGACAGUAUUGUAAAACAGCACAACUCUCUCUCUCUCACACACACACACACAAACUUGUCACAGGGAGAGACAGGCAAUGCAAUUUAAAUAGCAUAACACAAACACAUACAAAACAUCACUUGCACACGCUCAAACAUAUACACUGUCAUAUACGAAAACACAAACACACACAACUGCUUACUGAUGCCUUUCACAGGUAGAGAAGGAAAACAUUGUUAAAACAUCACACACACUUACAGGGAAAGAUGGGGAACACUGUUGAAACAGCAAAUAACACUCAGAAACACAGUCAGUUCAGACACACAUCACUUGCACAUGCUCAAUCAUGCACACGAACAAACAUUAAAAAUUUUCUUUCAUAUAGAAAAUUUACGUUUAUGAUUUAUCUUGUUUUACUACAGUUUCUUAUCUUGUUUUACUACAAAAUAACAGCAGAAUUUACAAUUUUGUAGUUGUGUUUUAUUUUCAUUGCUAAUUUGCCUCUAUCAAAAUGCAAGAAAGGCAGAGGCUCCCUUAGAUAAUAAAAAUUUUAAAAAAGAAAAACCUAAAAAAAUAACCAACUUGAAAUAUGUUUGUUUUUGGCAGACCUGCUUAUCAUUCAUGUAAUGUUAUGCCAUGUUACAAUAAAAAAUUACAUGAUUUUGGAAA